GAUGAACGCUAGCUACAGGCUUAACACAUGCAAGUCGCGUGGCAGCAUGGGGGUUGCUUGCAAUCCCCGAUGGCGACCGGCGCACGGGUGAGUAACGCGUAUCCAACCUGCCCUUCACCACGGGCUAACCCGGCGAAAGUCGGACUAAUACCGUAUGUUUUCCAUUGACGGCAUCCGAUUUGGACGAAAGGCUUGGCGGUGAGGGAUGGGGAUGCGUCCGAUUAGCUAGACGGCGGGGUAACGGCCCACCGUGGCUACGAUCGGUAGGGGUUCUGAGAGGAAGGGCCCCCACACUGGAACUGAGACACGGUCCAGACUCCUACGGGAGGCAGCAGUGAGGAAUAUUGGUCAAUGGGCGUAAGCCUGAACCAGCCAAGUAGCGUGCAGGAUGACGGCCCUAUGGGUUGUAAACUGCUUUUAUGCGGGGAUAAAGUGGCCCACGGGUGGGCUUUUGCAGGUACCGCAUGAAUAAGGACCGGCUAAUUCCGUG
RNAcentral lists this ribosomal RNA (490 nucleotides) under uncultured bacterium. RNAcentral describes it as "partial 16S ribosomal RNA". It matches the Rfam family "Bacterial small subunit ribosomal RNA", at positions 28 to 507 of the family's 1533-position model. The record is from RNAcentral.